This 199-nucleotide ribosomal RNA is filed under the name uncultured bacterium. RNAcentral's name for it is "partial 16S ribosomal RNA". It matches the Rfam family "Bacterial small subunit ribosomal RNA", at positions 326 to 539 of the family's 1533-position model. The record is from RNAcentral.
ACGCUCGACACCUACGGGAAGCAGCAGUGGGGAAUAUUGCACAAUGGAGGAAACUCUGAUGCAGCGACGCCGCGUGAGCGAAGAAGUAUUUCGGUAUGUAAAGCUCUAUCAGCAGGGAAGAAAAAGGACGGUACCUGACUAAGAAGCUCCGGCUAAAUACGUGCCUGCAGCCGCGGUAAUCUGAGCGGGCUGGCAAGGC